RNAcentral lists this ribosomal RNA (253 nucleotides) under uncultured bacterium. RNAcentral describes it as "partial 16S ribosomal RNA". It matches the Rfam family "Bacterial small subunit ribosomal RNA", at positions 524 to 776 of the family's 1533-position model. The record is from RNAcentral.
GACGAACCACACGAACGUUAUUCGGAAUUACUGGGCUUAAAGGGUGCGUAGGCUGUGCGGAAAGUUAGGUGUGAAAUCCCCCGGCUCAACCGGGGAAUUGCGCUUAAAACUACCGUGCUAGAGGAAGACAGAGGUGAGCGGAACUUCGGGUGGAGCGGUGAAAUGCGUUGAUAUCCGAAGGAACACCGGUGGCGAAAGCGGCUCACGGGGUCUUUUCUGACUCUGAUGCACGAAAGCUAGGGGAGCAAACGGG